AUGAUUGGCCUCAGGGCCUUAUCGAUUAUUAAUCCCAACACCUCUGUGAACCGUUUUCGGCCCUCGGGCUGAUCUUCUUACAAUACAAACAUUGUGUAAUGAGCGUCCUGUUAUCUUAACAAAAC
This 125-nucleotide unclassified non-coding RNA is filed under the name soil metagenome. RNAcentral describes it as "partial internal transcribed spacer 1". The record is from RNAcentral.